This 1837-nucleotide long non-coding RNA is filed under the name Lactuca sativa (garden lettuce). RNAcentral's name for it is "long non-coding RNA (LSAT_LNC002385)". The record is from RNAcentral. Lineage: Eukaryota; Viridiplantae; Streptophyta; Magnoliopsida; Asterales; Asteraceae.
UUUCAUGGGUUGAAGAAAGAUGGUCAAACUCGGUAAUUUCUCGCCCGUACUCGUGCCGAACCGAGGUGGUGGCAGGGUGUUCGCCGAGGCCACCUCGGAUUUGCCGAGUUGCACGCUCCUUGAAGUCUUACAACGAUCACUGAUCGGCCCUCAUAACCAUGGCUAUUCUCUUCGUCGAUUCUCAUAUCGGGCAGCUUGCUCCCUGAUUUCCCAUGCCCCCGCCCACGGCCCUCCUUGUCCAUUCCCAUGUUGGUCAAUUCCCAUGUGCAGAAACCACAACCAAAUCAUCUGAAUCCCUUAUUAUCCUACAAAUUCGUUUUCAUCUAUCAGAAAUUGAUACCAAAUCACUUGACCCGAUCAAAAUCGCAGAGAAUUUAUUUUGUAAACAAAUUGGCGACUUUUCGUCAGGAUCAUUUCCAUAGUAGAAGCAGAGCGGUUGAAGUAUUCAUCAUAAUUGAGUUGAUAUGAAAUUAGUAGGUAUGUAUUGGUUUCUUUCCUUGUUUUCCUUCACUAUUUUACUUCCAAACACUCCUUUGUAUCUAAUGCAUAUUAAGUGUUUGACGAAAUGCCUAACUGAUUUUAUUUAUUUAUUUAUUUAUUUAUUUAUUUAUUUAUUUAUUUUUAAUUUAAUGCAAUAUUAGCUCUAUGGUUUGUUAAUACCGAGGUGUUCUGAAUUCAUAGACUAUUAAAAAAACAAAGAAUACUUACAGGAAAUAAGUACUGAUCUCCAAAUAUUCGUCAAUUCUUACAAAAAAAUUGUACACACCCAAUACAAUAUGAGAGAAGUAAUGGUUCCUAGGCAGUGCGAUUAUUAUGUUAGCUAACAUUACAUUUUCAGAUUAACUAAAUUUGCUUCUUACUAUAGCUAGUUAAUUUUCUUAUGAUGUGUUUGCAAAAAAAUUGAUCAACAUCAAAUAUCUUGUCUUUGAUUUUUUUUUUAUUCAAUUCUCAUCAAAGUAACAAUAUUCGUAAAUUAAACAAAUUGCAAUUUCUUCCAUGAUGUAUUGAGAAUCAGUGAAACUAAGAUGAUAUAUAGCACUUAUACGUUGUAUUUUUCAAGUAAAUAAUUACAUAAGAAAUAGAUCCUGAUUACCAACCUGCUGGUGAUUACGCCAAUGGCAACUCACUAGAGUCUCAUGAACCCCUAUAAACAUAGAGACUAGCAUAUAAAUAUUAAAAUAUACAUUGCUAGAAAGGAUAUUGCAUUAUCCAGAAAUAGGUGUAAAUGAAUGAACCUUAACUUUGCUUAGUGCAUUAAUGGCUAUAUGAUAAUUCCAUGAUUAUUAGGCAACUUUUGAUGGUGAUUCUUCUGAAUUAUGUGUGCUAGAACUCAUAAUCGCAAUCUCAACCUUGUUCUUUGGAAUAUGGCAUGACAUGGAUAUAACAUUAAUUGAUUUAAUGUGUCAAAAAAAGAAAGACUCAAGUUUGACUUCAGACAAAGAGAGUAAGCAGAGACUAAAGGUACUCUGUUUGGUUUUUUAGUAGCACGUCUUCCAUUCAAAUUAACAGCCGAUUGCAUGUAAAUUGCUUUGAAAUGCAAAACUUCUUUUUAAUAUUUAAAGUUGUCAUCUUUGUAAAGAAAUUUUUUAUCUAUAAUAUAAAAUAUAAAUAUCUAUUUCCUAAUACAAAAUUUGUAUAUAUGAAUGAGUAAUGUAGCAUAGGCGGUAUAUAGCAUCAAAAUCAUAAAAUUAUGUUACCGAAUUGCCUACAAUCUUUGGCAACUCUCUUGAAUUUGAAUUUUAUGGUAUAGAGUUUGGUGGCCAAAGUAAAUACAUAAAACACAAAUAUUUUGUUGAAAUUUUUUCAGGGUAACUAAUUAUUCCACAUCAAUUGAUAG